Pelobates cultripes (western spadefoot toad) is the source of this 277-nucleotide non-coding RNA. Lineage: Eukaryota; Metazoa; Chordata; Amphibia; Anura; Pelobatidae. The record is from the annotation of a GenBank genome assembly.
UUAUACUUGACCCAUGAAUGGUCCACCCUACAUAUACCUUCUUCCAUUUCAAUCAGUUAUGCUUCCAUGCUCAUUUACAUUCUCUCUCUACGUGUUCUGUCUAAGGGGAAUCAACUUCUCUCACGUUGGCUGUUACGUUUGUAUAGAAGUACCUCACUUGUUCUCCCUAAUCUUCACAGGUUUACUGUAAUCUCGUUCGUUGCUCCUCUGUUUAUGAGGUUGACAUUUAUUACUCAUAGGUCACAGUCAGGCUUUUCCCUUACAGCCUAAUAUGCGC